RNAcentral lists this ribosomal RNA (254 nucleotides) under uncultured bacterium. RNAcentral's name for it is "partial 16S ribosomal RNA". It matches the Rfam family "Bacterial small subunit ribosomal RNA", at positions 524 to 777 of the family's 1533-position model. The record is from RNAcentral.
UACAGAGGGUGCGAGCGUUAAUCGGAAUUACUGGGCGUAAAGCGCGCGUAGGCGGCUUUGCAAGUCGGGUGUGAAAUCCCCAGGCUUAACCUGGGAACUGCAUUCGAGACUGCAUUGCUAGAGUAUGGGAGAGGGAAGUGGAAUUUCAGGUGUAGCGGUGAAAUGCGUAGAUAUCUGAAGGAACAUCAGUGGCGAAAGCGACUUCCUGGACCAAUACUGACGCUCAUGUGCGAAAGCGUGGGGAGCAAACAGGG